This 79-nucleotide microRNA precursor is filed under the name Nomascus leucogenys (northern white-cheeked gibbon). RNAcentral's name for it is "miRNA (ENSNLEG00000031870.1)". Lineage: Eukaryota; Metazoa; Chordata; Mammalia; Primates; Hylobatidae. The record is from RNAcentral.
UUAGGUUGGUGCAAAACUAAUUGUGGUUUUUGCCAUUGAAAGUAAUUGCAAACACCGUGAUUGCUUUUGUACCAACCUA